CAAUUACAUAGGGAUUAAGCUACUCACACAGGCAUACACGACAGAAGACAAACAGGGAUUCGAAUUUUGCUGACCUGGCAAAAGAAAAUGGAGGGAACGCUAAAGAAGCACGUGAGGGACUCGUGAUAGGGUUUAAAAUGGAAUAAGAAAACCCCAGACAUUCUCCAACCAUGUUCGUCCUCAAAUUAGAAGCUAAUCUGAAAUUGGAAACCUGGUCCCUGUUAAACGAGGUUCUCAAAAUAAUUUCCCAGGGAAGGUAGAACUCCGGCGAUAAAUCGAAAGCCACAGGUCCGACGUUUGACGACGAUGAACAGCGAUUUCCUUUUGCAUCCCCUUCCCCAUUUCAGUAAGCUUUUUUCUUUGGGUUUUCCAAAUUGUUAAAAUACAUUUGUAAUGUAUUAAUCCUUCAAGGUUUGAACGAACAUGUGUGUUAUUUUGAAGAUUAAAUUUUGAUGUACGUUAUUUUGAAGAACAGAGGACUGUUUCUCCCCCAAAUCACGCCCAAAUUGAAACCCUCACAAACGCAAAACGUUCUCCGGCCUCACCAUCUCCGACCACACUUCAGACGACGGUACCAUCGCCACUCAGACAGCACUUCCAUCGUGGGUUUGGAAUGAAGGUUAUUGUCGCUCUGGGGUCACUUCCGUCCAAAUUUCACCGUCAUCCUAGAUCACCAUCACUGAUCGACGACAAAGGUUAUGCUUUAAAAAUUUCCUGGUUUUGCACAAUUCAAAGUUGUUGUUUUUCGUUUUUUAUUUUAUUUUAUUUUUCACUAAAGCUUGUAUAGCCGAUAUUCGUGCGGUUUAUUUCCUCAUCAUGCUCCUUUUUUGGACUAGACUAAGAUAUUAUUGAAAAUUACUAUCACUUGUGCCUCUAUUUAUUUUCCAAUUCGCAAUUUUUUCUUUUCUGUUCAGUUGCUUGGCUACGUUGUGUUAGAAAAUUUUUUAUUCCAUCAGUUUUUCAACAUAUGGUUCAACUUAUAUGAUUAUAAAAAGAUGCAAAUUCUUGAGUUUUUUUUUUCCACUGAAGGUUGUCUGGCAGCAAAUGAAAGUUUUAAUCAUUUUAUUGCAGGAUCACUCUAUGAAAUUUCAGUUCGAAUUAUGCAUGUUAUUCAAUAUUUAGGUGGUUUCGUUAAUUGUUAUAGUGACAAUAAAUUCUGUUGAGCUAACCGUGCAGUUUAUUUCUAUCGUAGAAUGGGCGGAAAGAAUACUUAAAUGUGUCACAGUUGCAGAGCUAAGGUUCAUUUCUUUGCCUAAUAAUAUCCAAGGAAAUGUCAAUGCCCGGAAUGCAAGCAUGAAUUUGAGAAAUGUUUAGUGAUAGNAAGUCUUAGUCGCCUCACUUGUUCAAUGUAAUUUCGACAAUCCUUUUCCAUGCAACUCAUUUGCUCAUAACCACCUGCUUCUACAACUGCAGAAUUGUAGCUUUUAUGCAAUGGAAUUCCCGCCAAAUCAUUAACUUCAAGUUUGCGCUUCACAUGUGCACUCAAUUCUCGAUUACAUCGAUAUAACCUGGACUUCGAAGGACUAGUUUUGUGAUUAUGCUCGAGGUGGACCGUGUUAAUCCUCCAAACUCCAUAUAUAUCUGAAGAUGCUGAUAUCCUUGCUUUACAAUCCAUCUGAAUUGUUGGUUGCGGCCUCAAAGAACCACUAGUCUUACCAAUUCUUCGCCCUUCCCGGCCACAAGUCAACGUUACAUAUCUCAUCGCUCCAUCAUCCCCCUUUUUUGAAUUCCUUUUCUUCACUGGAAAACCGACGCCAUAAGCAUAUUUUUUGUAGAAGUCAAACAUUUCUGUCACAUCUUUAAACUCCAUUCCUACAGCGGGCACAAUCACUCCAUCUCUCACCGAGGUUACACCUUCCACUAUGUUAAUAGAGUCCGUGAUGUUCUCGUUGUCGGAUUCUGUCGUAACGUCAACAUGCUCAUUUUGCACUUCGUCCAUAAUUCCG
RNAcentral lists this long non-coding RNA (1946 nucleotides) under Olea europaea subsp. europaea. Lineage: Eukaryota; Viridiplantae; Streptophyta; Magnoliopsida; Lamiales; Oleaceae. The record is from RNAcentral.